AUGGGGGGCAGAAUUGAGAAAAAAUAUGAGGUCCUGGAGGAUAUACUUGCUGGAGUUGUGAUGCCGAGAGAUCUGCCACUAGCACUUCUAGAGGAUAUCACGGAUCAUUUCUCAGAUAAAAGAAUAAUUGGCAAGGGGGGAUUCGCAAUGGUUUACAAGGGUGUCCUCGGAAACAAGAAUGUUGCUGUGAAGAAGAUUUCUGUGAACAAAGACACAGUCAGUGAGAAGUUAUUUCAUCGUGAGGUUGCUAGCCUGAUGAAGAUAGAAAAACAUCAAAACUUAGUCCGGUUUCUGGGCUUCUGUUCUAAUAAAGCUCGUGUCGUGGAAGAACAGACAGGAUCAGAAGAACCAAUUUACUUUCAAAUUAUGGAUAUAUUACUCUGUUUCGAGUACAUCAGCAACGGAAGCCUUGAUAAACAUAUUACCGAUGAACUUCGUGGACUCACAUGGGAUACACGUUUUGAUAUAAUCAGAGGAAUUUGUGAGGGUAUGCGUUAUCUUCAUGAGGAUAAAUCUAUCAUUCAUAUGGAUCUGAAACCAGCAAACAUACUACUUGAUGAUCAUAUGAUACCAAAAAUUACGGAUUUUGGUCAGUCAAGAUUCGCUGAAAACACACAUACUAAGGAAAUUUUUAUAACACCAAAAUAUGGCGCUCCAGAAUACCUGAAAGAUGGCAGAACGUCAAAAAAGGCUGAUAUAUAUAGUUUGGGUGUUGUUAUUCGAGAACUGGUGACAGGAAGUGAGGACAGUCGAGAUACAGCCCAUGUACUUCGAAGGUGGACACACAGGUGGCAUAAACAGCAGACACAACACCAAUACCAACAAGUAAUUAAAUGCAUGGAAAUAGCGGUACGCUGCAGUGAACAUGAACCAGAAAAUAGGCCUUCUAUCAGUGAUAUAAUCCGCGGUCUAAGCGAAAUAGAAAGUACAAAUGGGCCCAUUGACCAGAUGAGCCUAUAUCAGUAUGAUGACAUGCUUGGGAUUGAGCCACUCGAGCUAUGUUUCUCUUUGGAACAUAUAUCGUGCUUAGUUGAGCUAACCAACGAGACAACUAAUUCCAUCGCCUUCAACAUCGGAAGGCCAAGCAAACAGUACAGCACUCAGCCUGACAAAGGCAUUGUGCCGCCAGGAUGCAAGCGCGAUGUGAAGAUAACACUGCAACCACAUGAGAGUGCAACACAAGUUACGAGUUCUGAUAAGCUCGUCGUAAAGAGCACACAAGUGAGUGUGGGUGUAGCAGAUCAUAAUAUUACUUCUGACAUGUUCAUAACCAAGGGUGGCAAAAACGUGGUUGAUAAAGUCAGUUUGAUGGUUCUAUAUCAGCCCAAGACAAUUAAUCUGCAAGAAGAGGCAGUCCCUGAGGACAUUGGGUCUAGUAGCCGUAAUAAGAAAAUACGUAGGUUAAGUACACCACAACUAUUGUACUUCGACCUAGUUGAAAGCAUUCCACGGAAUCUAGCCACUGGCUUGAUGAGCGACCAAACCGUGGAUCUCGCAACAGGAGCCAUCGGAAGCCUGCUUGCCAAGCUGAGUGAGCUCCUCAACAUGUACAAUCUGGAGGCGAGCAUUAGGAGCGAUGUGGAUUGUGUCAUACAUGAGCUAAGAGUCAUGCGCGCUGACCUCUGCAAUGUUUCAGAGGUGCAGUGGGACAGCAACAAUGAGAAUAUCAAAUUAGCCAAACUUUGGGCUGGCGAAGUUAGGGAAUUGUCAUAUAACAUAGAGGAUGUCGUCGAUGGCUUCCUGAUACACGCCAAGGGCUCAGAACCCGCCACCCGUAUUGGAGGGUUGAUAGAGUCCAUAAAAAGGAUAAUGGGCCUGUUCAUGUCGGGAAGUUCGACCAGUCACCAGAUUGGUGGCGCGAUCAAAGACAUCAAGAACAAAGUCCAGCAUCAGUCUAGCUGGAAGGGAAAGUACAAGGUCGAAGAGGUCAAAAAGGUUGCAAAUACAGUUUCCACAAUCAAUGCCCAUUAUCUAUCAGCUUUGGUGAAAGAUCGCGACAAACUCUUUGGCAUCGACGAUGCAAUAAACGACCUCACCAAGAGGUUAAGAGGUGCAGAUGGCAAUGGGGACAUGUAUGGGCUCAAGAUACACUCCAUUUUUGGUAUUGGAGGACUGGGCAAGACCACACUUGCCAGAGCUGUGUAUAAUCAGCUCAAAGGGUCCUUCCGUUUGACUGCUUUUGUUUCACUGGGUCGGAAUCCCGAUGUGAAGAAACUCUUCUACGACAUUCUAUUUGAACUUGACGAACCAAGGCAUACAAAAUUGAAGCCAGCAAAUUUGGAUGAAAGCCAGCUUAUACGUGUACUCACAGACCUGCUCAAGAACAACAGGUACCUCAUUGUUAUCGAUGAUAUGUGGGACACAAAAGUAUGGCAUGAUUUUAUCAAAUUUGCUUUUCUUGGUAGCAAAUGCGGAAGUAAAAUAAUCAUAACUACACGUAUAUUUGAAGUUGCCGCAAUAGCUACUGAUGUAUACAAGCUGAACCCUCUUUCUGAUGGUUAUUCUGAAGAGCUAUUCUAUGCAACACUGUCUCCUGAGGAAGGCUGUGAGUAUGAUUUAACAGAUGGGGUAAUUGAAAAGAUUUUAUCAAAAUGCGAUGGUGUGCCAUUAGCUAUAAUUACAAUAGCUAGUAUGUUGGGCAGUAAACAGAGGGAGGAUUGGCCUAAGGUGUACAACUCUAUUGGUUUUGGGACUGAGGUUACCGAAGAUGUCGAUAACACAAGGAAGAUAUUGUUGUUUAGCUAUAGUGAUCUUCCACGCCAUAUAAGGACAUGCUUAUUGCAUCUAAGCAUAUAUCCAGAGAACUAUUUUAUCUGCAAAGACACGGUGAUAUGGAUGUGGGUUGCCGAAGGUUUUGUUCAUGACGAAUCAGGGAGAAGUUUAUUUGAGAUUGGGGAGAGAUAUUUCAAUCAGCUCGUCAAUAGAAGCAUGGUCCAGCUGGUGGCAAAUCCGCGCUACCUGGUCAGCACAAUGAUUCAUUUCCGUAUCCAUGAUUUGGUGCUUGAUAUGAUUUGUGCAUUGUCAAAGGAUGAAAACUUUGUUACUUUAUUGGAAAUAGAUGAGCAACACACAUCUUUAAAGAACAAUGCUCGUAGAUUAGCUGUCCAAAAGAGAGACAUUGAGAAGCUAGACCCUCCAACUAUUAAUUGCCACGGGCUGAGAUCAUUUUAUGCCAUUGGCUGCCAUAUUGAUGUGAUGCAACCACUUUCAAGAUUUAAAGUAUUACGCGUCCUAUCUUUGGCAGGAUGUAGAAUUAAUGAAGAUCAGCCUUAUCAGCUUGAACAUAUUGGGAAUCUACUUCAGUUGAGGUAUCUCGGACUAGAGAGAAUGCCUAUUUGUAAGCUCCCUGAAGAAAUUGGAGAUCUCCUUUUUCUGCAAACCUUGGUUCUGAAGGGAACUAAGAUAAAAGAACUGCCACAUAGUGUGGGCCUGCUUAGACAACUGAAGUGUCUGUGUGCUCCCAAAGUUAAAGUUCCUGAUUGGCUGGUGAACAUGACAUCUCUAGAAGACCUAAAGUUGGAUGCACUAAUGCCCUUUGUUUUUGCUGAAGGGCUGAUCAAUCUAAAAGAGCUUAGAGACCUCCAGAUUCAGAGUUAUCGUUCAUUUGGUGAUAAUUCGGACAGAGCUUUGGUGAAGUCUAUAGGGAAUUUGCAUAAACUCCAAAGCCUAAUACUAAUUAACUUCAUGGACAAUGCUGACGAGAUCUGGGAAGGCUUUGUUCCCCCUCGACAUCUCCAUAGCAUGAACAUGUACGUGGGAUUUUAUGGUGUCCCUCCUUGGAUGGAUCCAACACAUCUUCCAAGCCUCUCCGUCCUUCAGUUGCAUUUGUGUAGUAUGGAGGCACGCUGUCUAGAGAUCCUUGGGAGGUUACCCGAACUACAUACCCUCAAACUGCAGACCGGAGAGGGGAGCUGGCUUACGGUCACGGGCAGUGGUGCAUUCCCCAAGUUGAGGCACUUGCGUAGUAGUCGCGCAAUGCUGAGAUUUCAGCGGGGAGUUAUGACACGGCUUGAAUACCUUGAGCUCGAGGUCCGUGUACCGGAAUUGAAAAAGGCCAAGUUUGACUGCGACUUUACUAGCUUGGGGAACCUCCCUUUGCUUCAGAAAUUAAGUGUUCAUCUGACGUGUAAGGCCGACGAUCCUGAAUACGGGAAGAGGAUGGAGGUAGCAGUGAAGCACGCAAUUGAUAGGCAUCCACACCGUCGUCCCAUCCUUCACUGGAUUCAUUAG
RNAcentral lists this ribosomal RNA (4230 nucleotides) under Triticum aestivum (bread wheat). RNAcentral's name for it is "partial small subunit ribosomal RNA". The record is from RNAcentral. Lineage: Eukaryota; Viridiplantae; Streptophyta; Magnoliopsida; Poales; Poaceae.